CAACUUUUCAAAGAUUACAAAAUAGCCCCACAAGUGGAUAAAUCCACUAGGGAGGCCGGCCACUUAAUGGGGGAAUGGGAAGUCUCACCCACAUGCUUUAAUUCAAUGCAAAGUAGAAAAAUCAAAAUUUUGCUUGUCACUUGGUUUUGGCAUUUAAAACUUAGGUGAAAAGGUUUGAUGGAAAUCUCCUAGUCAAGUCCAGGGUUUUAUAAGUAUAUGAUAUGGUUAUGGAUGGUAUGAACAUCACCCAAAACCACAAAACAAUGCAUUAAAACCAUUUUCAUCAAAAACCAAACUAUGAACACCAAGAACAAAACCAUGAACACUUUUUCAAGAUUUGUGUAUUCUUGGUGAUUUUUCAAACCCAAAAACAAAAGUGACAAGGUUUAUUCUUUCUAGCUUUAAAAGGAUGUGAGAGUGGUUUACAAUAAAACACAAACACAACCCAAAACCACCCCCAAAACCGUGCCAUCCCUUUGGUUCAAAACCCCAAAUUUUGUUCAUGACUUAUUCUUCAUUCAUGCAUCUAAAACACCCUUUUACAUGCAUAUCUUUUUCAACUCUUGAUCUUAUAUUUUUCAACCAUUGAAAAACAAAAGAUAAACAUACUUUAAAAUGAAGAAAUAAUAUGUCAAACUAGUUUUAAACUCAUUUUUCAUUCAUGCAUACAAAACAUCUUUUGCAUCCAUACCUUUCUUAACUAUUGACUAACAUUUUUCAACUAUUGAAAAACAAAAGAUAAACAUACUUUGAAUGAAACAAUAAUAUGUCAUACAUAACAUUAAUACCCAUAUGCAUAAAAUCCAAAAGGACACAUUAUACAUAAACCUUUGGCUCUGAUACCACUUGAAGGGAAAUCUAUGAGAUUCAUGUAUGGGAUUUCUAAAUGACUAUCAUGCAUAUCCAAAACAAUUAUGAUAUA
Molecule: long non-coding RNA, 922 nt
Filed under: Malus domestica (apple)
Lineage: Eukaryota; Viridiplantae; Streptophyta; Magnoliopsida; Rosales; Rosaceae
Description: long non-coding RNA (MDOM_LNC008417)
Source: RNAcentral